Molecule: ribosomal RNA, 231 nt
Filed under: uncultured bacterium
Lineage: Bacteria
Description: partial 16S ribosomal RNA
Rfam family: Bacterial small subunit ribosomal RNA
Source: RNAcentral
GAUCAUGGCUCAGGACGAACGCUGGCGGCGUGCCUAAUACAUGCAAGUAGAACGCUGAAGGAGGAGCUUGCUUCUCCGGAUGAGUUGCGAACGGGUGAGUAACGCGUAGGUAACCUGCCUGGUAGCGGGGGAUAACUAUUGGAAACGAUAGCUAAUACCGCAUAACAGUAGAUGUUGCAUGACAUUUGCUUAAAAGGUGCAAUUGCACCACUACCAGAUGGACCUGCGUUG